This 458-nucleotide ribosomal RNA is filed under the name Enterobacter cloacae. RNAcentral describes it as "bacterial SSU rRNA". The stretch from base 10 to 352 matches the Rfam family "Bacterial small subunit ribosomal RNA", at positions 45 to 393 of the family's 1533-position model. Lineage: Bacteria; Pseudomonadati; Pseudomonadota; Gammaproteobacteria; Enterobacterales; Enterobacteriaceae. The record is from RNAcentral.
ACAGGACGGGGCUACCUGCAGUCGACGGUAACAGGAAGCAGCUUGCUGCUUUGCUGACGAGUGGCGGACGGGUGAGUAAUGUCUGGGAAACUGCCUGAUGGAGGGGGAUAACUACUGGAAACGGUAGCUAAUACCGCAUAACGUCGCAAGACCAAAGAGGGGGACCUUCGGGCCUCUUGCCAUCGGAUGUGCCCAGAUGGGAUUAGCUAGUAGGUGGGGUAACGGCUCACCUAGGCGACGAUCCCUAGCUGGUCUGAGAGGAUGACCAGCCACACUGGAACUGAGACACGGUCCAGACUCCUACGGGAGGCAGCAGUGGGGAUAUUGCCAAUGGGCGCAGCCUGAUGCAGCCUGGCGGUGUUGAGAAGGCCUUGGUUGUAAGACUUCGCGGGAGAGGGACAGGUUAAACUUGCCAUGCGUUCCGCAAAACACGGUAUUAGGACCUCCGAAAAAAGAAA